GAAAGCCUGAUGCAGCAACGCCGCGUGAAGGAUGAAGGGUUUCGGCUCGUAAACUUCUAUCAAUAGGGACGAAAAAAAUGACGGUACCUAAAUAAGAAGCCCCGGCUAACUACGUGCCAGCAGCCGCGGUAAUACGUAGGGGGCAAGCGUUAUCCGGAAUUACUGGGUGUAAAGGGAGAGUAGGCGGCAUGGUAAGUUAGAUGUGAAAGCCCGAGGCUUAACCUCGGGAUUGCAUUUAAAACUAUCAAGCUAGAGUACAGGAGAGGUAAGUGGAAUUCCUAGUGUAGCGGUGAAAUGCGUAGAUAUUAGGAAGAACACCAGUGGGGAAGGCGACUUACUGGACUGAAACUGACGGUGAGGCUAGAAAGCGUGGGGAGCGAACAGGAUUAGAUACCCUGGUAGUCC
Molecule: ribosomal RNA, 405 nt
Filed under: uncultured bacterium
Lineage: Bacteria
Description: bacterial SSU rRNA
Rfam family: Bacterial small subunit ribosomal RNA
Source: RNAcentral